UGGGGAAUUUUGGACAAUGGACGAAAGUCUGAUCCAGCGACGCCGCGUGGAGGAUGAAGGUUUUCGGAUUGUAAACUCCUUUUAUAGGGGACGAAAGCAGGCAACUGUUUGACGGUACCCUGUGAAUAAGCCACGGCUAACUACGUGCCAGCAGCCGCGGUAAUACGUAGGUGGCGAGCGUUACUCGGAAUUACUAGGCGUAAAGCGUGCGCAGGCGGUUUUGUAAGACAGAUGUGAAAUCCCCGGGCUUAACCUGGGAACUGCAUUUGUGACUGCAAGGCUAGAGUACGGCAGAGGGGGGUAGAAUUCCACGUGUAGCAGUGAAAUGCGUAGAGAUGUGGAGGAAUACCAAUGGCGAAGGCAGCCCCCUGGGAUAAUAUUGACGCUCAUGCACGAAAGCGUGGGGAGCAAACAGG
Molecule: ribosomal RNA, 416 nt
Filed under: uncultured bacterium
Lineage: Bacteria
Description: bacterial SSU rRNA
Rfam family: Bacterial small subunit ribosomal RNA
Source: RNAcentral